This 1033-nucleotide ribosomal RNA is filed under the name Pyramimonas obovata. RNAcentral's name for it is "partial Bacterial large subunit ribosomal RNA". It matches the Rfam family "Bacterial large subunit ribosomal RNA", at positions 900 to 1917 of the family's 2925-position model. The record is from RNAcentral. Lineage: Eukaryota; Viridiplantae; Chlorophyta; Pyramimonadophyceae; Pyramimonadales; Pyramimonadaceae.
GGGUAGAGCACUGUUUCGGCUAGGGGGUCAUCCCGACUUACCAACCCGAUGCAAACUCCGAAUACCUGUGAGUACUAUCCGGGAGACACACGGCGGGUGCUAACGUCCGUCGUGAAGAGGGAAACAACCCAGACCGCCAGCUAAGGUCCCCAAGUACCAGUUAAGUGGGAAACGAUGUGGGAAGGCUCAGACAGCUAGGAGGUUGGCUUAGAAGCAGCCAUCCUUUAAAGAAAGCGUAAUAGCUCACUAGUCGAGUCGGCCUGCGCGGAAGAUGUAACGGGGCUCAAACUGGUCACCGAAGCUGCGGCUGCAUACUUUGUAUGCGGGGUAGGGGAGCGUUCUGUAAGCCUGCGAAGGUGUGUUGAGAAGCAUGCUGGAGGUAUCAGAAGUGCGAAUGCUGACAUGAGUAACGACAAUGCGGGUGAAAAACCCGCACGCCGGAAGACCAAGGGUUCCUGCGCAACGCUAAUCGGCGCAGGGUGAGUCGGCCCCUAAGGCGAGACCGAAAGGUGUAGUCGAUGGGAAACGGGUUAAUAUUCCCGUACCUUGGAUAGCUGCGAUGGAGAGACGGAGAAGGCUAGGUGAGCCGGGCGACGGUUGUCCCGGUUUAAGCGAGUAGGGAGUGGACUUAGGCAAAUCCGGGUCCACAAUCUCGAGACGCGACGACGACUGCUCUUAGAGCGGGAAGUCAUUGAUGCCAUGCUUCCAGGAAAAUCUUCUAAGCUUCAGGCUAUUCGAGACCGUACCCCAAACCGACACAGGUGGUCAGGUAGAGAAUACCAAGGCGCUUGAGAGAACUCGGGUAAAGGAACUAGGCAAAAUGGUGCCGUAACUUCGGGAGAAGGCACGCUGGUGGUAAGUGAAAUCCCUGCGGGUGGAGCUGAAGCCAGUCGAAGAUACCAGGCCCCUGCGACUGUUUAUUAAAAACACAGCACUGUGCAAACACGAAAGUGGACGUAUACGGUGUGACGCCUGCCCGGUGCCGGAAGGUUAAUUGAUGGGGUUAGCGCUUGCGCGAAGCUCUUGAUCGAAG